Non-coding RNA from Salmo salar (Atlantic salmon), 54 nucleotides. Lineage: Eukaryota; Metazoa; Chordata; Actinopteri; Salmoniformes; Salmonidae. The record is from Rfam.
CAGAAGAUAUGUUGUAAGUCGCUCUGGAUAAGAGCGUCUGCUAAAUGACGUAAA